GAUAUUGAACCGCAUCAUGCUCAACCAKAAACYCWUYGUGAACUUAUACCUWACUUGUUGCCUCGKCGCWAKCUGGUCCUUCGGGGCCCCUCACCCUCGGGUGUUGAGACAGCCCGCYGGCGGCCAACCUAACUCUUGUUUUUACACUGAAACUCUGAGAAUAWMMCAUAAAUGAAUCAWAMCUYUCAACAACGGAUCUCUUGGUUCUGGCAUCGGAUGAASAACGCAGCGAAAUGCGAUAAGUAAUGUGAAUUGCAGAAUUCAKUGAAUCAUCGAAUCUUUGAACGCACAUUGCGCCCUCUGGUAUUCCGGAGGGGCAUGCCUGUUCGAGCGUCAUUUCAACCCUCAAGCCUGGCUUGGUGAUGGGGCACUGCCUGUAAAAGGGCAGGCCCUGAAAUUCAGUGGCGAGCUCGCCAGGACCCCGAGCGCAGUAGUUAAACCCUCGCUCUGGAAGGCCCUGGCGGUGCCCUGCCGUUAAACCCCCAACUUCUGAAAAUUUGACCUCGGAUUCAGGUAGGAUACCAGCUAACUUCCC
Molecule: ribosomal RNA, 535 nt
Filed under: Colletotrichum caricae
Lineage: Eukaryota; Fungi; Ascomycota; Sordariomycetes; Glomerellales; Glomerellaceae
Description: eukaryotic LSU rRNA
Rfam family: 5.8S ribosomal RNA (bases 181-336)
Source: RNAcentral